UGUUUACUUACAUAUCGAUUCUAUUGCUUUUAUUGUUACUUACCUGUUUAGCUCUUUUGGGCCUAGUGGUGCUUUCACUGAAGUCAGUAAUUGCCCACUGAGAACUAUUAUUUAAUAGUUCUCACGCCCCUGUUUCUAUGUUUCCUUUUCAGAGCCCUCUGCACCGGCAGAGGCACGGGAUCGCGGCAAGGGGAUCGCUAGCUAGAUAGCGAGGAUUUACUGUUGCUUAGGUGGUUUUCUCUCUUUUUGUUGUGGUUGAGAGAGAGUGAGGUUUUGUAUCCAUGUAUAGAGACCACCUAUGUAUUUACUUAUAUCACUUGUUGUGGGAUUCUUCUUGUACUACUUUAUGUUUUCAUCUAGUGGAUUUUAGUUUUAUGGCUCUUUUUCUCUAUUGUAGCAUCUAGAUAUACUUGCUCUGAUACUCCUAGAUGUUCUCCUUUUACUGCUUCAUUUAUCGUUUUAUUUUAGACGCCUUAUAUGUUUUAGACAUAUGGCGGGUCUAGACACACGCCGAGCGGGCUUCCGCUGGGCCC
RNAcentral lists this long non-coding RNA (533 nucleotides) under Ananas comosus (pineapple). Its description in RNAcentral is "long non-coding RNA (ACOM_LNC042306)". The record is from RNAcentral. Lineage: Eukaryota; Viridiplantae; Streptophyta; Magnoliopsida; Poales; Bromeliaceae.